CUCUGGGCUGCCAGAAAGUUGCGGAAAUUACCAGUUGGAAAGCGGAAGUUGACGUUAAACUUCAGGCGCUUCACCUCGUGUCUACAGGCAAACUUUUAUCUACAGUUCAGUGGUGACUAUACAUUCUUCUGCAGUCGUUACUCUACGCCAGCAUCAUAAAAACAUCAUCGUAAAAGUAGCAACAAGAGACAUAGCCACGCCUCGAAUUGUAACGAGAUUAAUACGAAUUGCCAAACCUGCUCCCCCGACGAGACGCUGCACGGUGCACAGGCGAUGUAUAAUACCAAACGAGCACUGGCCAACGCAGCUGGGAAGCGCGGGAUAUCAUCUAACGCGUUCCUGGAUCUCGUCGGAUCAGUGCGACCAAGGGGCAAUGGCAUAAACAAAUCUACGUCUGCCCCGUUUCUACUUUGCGCGCAUGUCUUGGCUGUUCCAGGAUACUCGUACUACUAAGGAGAGCCUUACAGACUACAAAGCUUUUACUCUUACUCGUCCUGUACUUAUUGCUGCUUCACUAUUACUUGCCAGCGGAGCUGAGUUCGCUGACUAAUGCUCACCUUCCACCUAUCACGACCGCGGGCAACGGCAUUCGCUGUUACAAGCGGCAGUGCUACCUGAUCAGCUCACAGCUGUAGCGGGAACAACAGCAGCGUGACCUCAGUAGCUGAGAUGGUUUACGUCCGCAUGUGCCGUACAUCAUAUGUCAUUGCCGCCACAUAUUUCUUGGUGGUACCAGGAUAGCUGUAUCCGGCUGAGUAGGACUAAUUCUGCGCGACUGACAUCCAGUCACUGGCUUGGACGGUAGGGCAACUGAACGGUCCUUGCUCUGCCAGAGACAGCGCCAUGUGUAUGUCAGAGUCAGCGAUCUGAAAGCGGUUCGCUACCGCUUCCGACGCAUACCUUUCUGCGUGGGUUUUCUAAGGAUCAUGUGGGUUUUCUGGUCGGCUUGUUGCUUUUAAGCCAUUGUUGUGACUGUUGCUGAUGAAAAUCGUUUGCUCGCGUAUGGCUGCCGCUGCUGAAUACCACGCCGGCCAUGAAUCAACAAAAGGCAGGAAGGCCAAACUGUGCCUUGUGCCAAGCUCCGAAACGCAAAUUCUUCUAGACGUUUACCUUUGAAGCACCACAAGGUAGCUGAAGUAGUAGCACCGGGCAUAGCCGUACCUAUGGUGAUACUGGCGGAUUAAACACAACUAUUCCAGCCGCAACAAACCCGUUCAGGCUUCGCUUAGGCCCGCUUCUGUUGCAGAUCGCGCGAAUAAUUAACUUUUUAACGAAGUACGAAACAGUUGCCAGGCGAAACAUCAACGAAACCUGUACAUGCGAGGAGGAAAGUACUUGCCGUGGCAAGUAAGGGGGCCGGCUUUCAAUAAACUAAAUGAAGUGACUGUGCAGAAAUGACGACCGUUUGUGGCGACUGUUAAACUUGACCAGCUAUAGUAUGGCGACUUGUGAGAUGAAAUACAGUCCAAGAUUUUGAGCUGUUGUGCUCGCAAAGGGACUAUCGGUCACUUCAGAACUGUUCCUAUAGGCCUAGAACCCAAAUUCUACCGAAAUUUUUCUUGCGUCAUUAGCCAUACUGUGCAAAGCA
This is a long non-coding RNA of Varroa destructor (honeybee mite), 1588 nucleotides long. RefSeq lists it as uncharacterized. NCBI's taxonomy places the organism in Eukaryota, Metazoa, Arthropoda, Arachnida, Mesostigmata, Varroidae. The record is from RefSeq and is a predicted model, not a curated record.